RNAcentral lists this ribosomal RNA (471 nucleotides) under uncultured bacterium. RNAcentral's name for it is "bacterial SSU rRNA". It matches the Rfam family "Bacterial small subunit ribosomal RNA", at positions 328 to 793 of the family's 1533-position model. The record is from RNAcentral.
GCAGAGCACUCCUCGGGAGGCAGCAGUGGGGAAUAUUGCACAAUGGGCGCAAGCCUGAUGCAGCCAUGCCGCGUGUAUGAAGAAGGCCUUCGGGUUGUAAAGUACUUUCAGCAGUGAGGAAGGUGGGUAUGUUAAUAGCAUAUUCAUUUGACGUUAGCUGCAGAAGAAGCACCGGCUAACUCCGUGCCAGCAGCCGCGGUAAUACGGAGGGUGCGAGCGUUAAUCGGAAUUACUGGGCGUAAAGCGCAUGCAGGUGGUUUGUUAAGUCAGAUGUGAAAGCCCGGGGCUCAACCUCGGAAUUGCAUUUGAAACUGGCAAACUAGAGUACUGUAGAGGGGGUAGAAUUUCAGGUGUAGCGGUGAAAUGCGUAGAGAUCUGAAGGAAUACCGGUGGCGAAGGCGGCCCCCUGGACAGAUACUGACACUCAGAUGCGAAAGCGUGGGGAGCAAACAGGAUUAGUUACCCUGGUAG